UCGGAGAUCGUCUAAUGGUAGGACAGAGGACUCUGAAUCCUCUAAUCUAGGUUCGAGCCCUAGUCUCCGAGCCA
RNAcentral lists this transfer RNA (74 nucleotides) under Patescibacteria group bacterium. RNAcentral's name for it is "tRNA-Gln". It matches the Rfam family "tRNA". From Rfam's summary of the family: Transfer RNA (tRNA) molecules are approximately 80 nucleotides in length. The record is from RNAcentral.